RNAcentral lists this ribosomal RNA (468 nucleotides) under uncultured bacterium. Its description in RNAcentral is "partial 16S ribosomal RNA". It matches the Rfam family "Bacterial small subunit ribosomal RNA", at positions 28 to 507 of the family's 1533-position model. The record is from RNAcentral.
GACGAACGCUGGCGGCGUGCUUAACACAUACAAGUCGAACGGAAAGGCCCUGCUUUUGUGGGGUGCUCGAGUGGCGAACGGGUGAGUAACACGUGAGUAACCUGCCCUUGACUUUGGGAUAACUUCAGGAAACUGGGGCUAAUACCGGAUAGGAGCUCCUGCUGCAUGGUGGGGGUUGGAAAGUUUCGGCGGUUGGGGAUGGACUCGCGGCUUAUCAGCUUGUUGGUGGGGUAGUGGCUUACCAAGGCUUUGACGGGUAGCCGGCCUGAGAGGGUGUCCGGCCACAUUGGGACUGAGAUACGGCCCAGACUCCUACGGGAGGCAGCAGUGGGGAAUAUUGCACAAUGGGCGGAAGCCUGAUGCAGCAACGCCGCGUGCGGGAUGACGGCCUUCGGGUUGUAAACCGCUUUCGCCUGUGACGAAGCGUGAGUGACGGUAAUGGGUAAAGAAGCACCGGCUAACUACGUG